AAUAAUAGAGUUUGAAAAUAAAUAAAAGACUAGUGGGUUUUGAAAGAGGAAAAGAAAAGGUAGAGUAGAUUAUAGGAGAGACAAAACGGUGAGUAUUACCAAAAAGAGGAACAAAGAGAAAGUUGAAAAUGGCCUUUCACCCUUCUUCAUCAAACCCCUCAAUGCCUCCUCUCCCUCCACCACACCCUAACCAUUCAAUUUCCUUCCCAUUCUAGACAACAACAACUCACACUUUCUCUCUCUACAAAUAUAUAUAACAGAGACAAACAAAACAACCAUUACCAUUACUAGUUCUAGUACCACACAAAACAUCAAAUCCUACUGACUCAAAGUGGAAAAGCUUGACUAUCAACGAACAAUGGAGGAAGACGAUGACAAUGACAAUGACGCGGUUGUGCCGGUAACAUGCAAUGACCGUUAUACCCUUCCUCUCUCAAACACCUUCAACUUCCCUUUGUAAAUCCCAACCGUCCGUUCAUCUUCAUCUUCACCAACAGCUCCCUCAUCUCUCUUCAUUGCGUCCAUAAAGGCAGACAGGAUGGAGCCAGGCAUAAUAUAAUAUCUUAAUAUUUUAAUAUUUAUUUUCUCUUUCUUUUUUUUGGGUUUAGUUUUCAUCAUCACCAACAACACUUUUUUUUUUCUUCUCAUCUAUCAUGGAUUUUGUUGUUAGUAUAUUCUACAAAACUAGAAAUGCUAAAGGAUCAGAAAAAUUGUACCCAGAAUUUUCUUGAUUUAUUGACUUAUAUUUUGUUUUUUUUUAUUAUUGCCUAUUUCUUUCAUGUGAUAAUGAGUAUCAUUUAGGUUUUUAUUUAUUUAUUUAUUUUUAUUUGUUGAAAAUUUUGUUGUUGCUGUUGUUGACUAUGUGAUGUGCUUGGUGUGAUUUUAGAACAAGAUGAGGAUUGAGGAAAAAA
Molecule: long non-coding RNA, 911 nt
Filed under: Lathyrus oleraceus (garden pea)
Lineage: Eukaryota; Viridiplantae; Streptophyta; Magnoliopsida; Fabales; Fabaceae
Description: Pisum sativum (pea) long non-coding RNA (PSAT_LNC018621)
Source: RNAcentral